RNAcentral lists this long non-coding RNA (637 nucleotides) under Homo sapiens (human). Its description in RNAcentral is "HSALNT0386551". Lineage: Eukaryota; Metazoa; Chordata; Mammalia; Primates; Hominidae. The record is from RNAcentral.
GGGUUCAAGUGAUUCUCCUGCCUCAGCCUCCUGAGUAGCUGGGAUUACAGGCGUGCACCACCACGCCCGGCUAAUUUUGUAUUUUUGGUAGAGUCGGUGUUUCUCCAUGUUGGUCAGGCUGGUCUCAAACUCCCGACCUCAGGUGAUCCGCCCACCUCUGCCUCCCAAAGUGCUGGGAUUAUAGGCAUGAGCCACUGUGCCCGGCCAACAACACUGUUCUUCUAGGCAAGGACAAGAGUAAGGGACUAUCUCCAGUGUUGGGAAAUACAACUCAGCAUGAAUAGAAGUGAAGAUAAGACAGCUAAUAAGACAGCUCUGACAAAAGGACGUUUUGUAUCCCUCAAAAGUUUGCAUGCGUUCUUUUUUUUGUUUUUUGUUUGUUUGUUUGUUUGUUUUGAGAUGGAGUUUCGCUCUUGUUGCCCAGGCUGGAUUGCAGUGGUGCGAUCUUGGGUCAUGGGAACAUCCGCCACCUGGAUUCAAGCCAUUCUUCUGCCUCAGCGUCCUGAGUAGCUGGGAUUACAGAUGGAGUUUUGCCACAUUGCCCAGGCUGUUCUAGAACUCCUGCGCUCAAGGAUCCACCUGCCUCAGCCUCCCAAAAUGCUGAGAUUACAGGCAUGAGCCACCUCAUGCAGCCCCA